Molecule: ribosomal RNA, 431 nt
Filed under: uncultured bacterium
Lineage: Bacteria
Description: partial 16S ribosomal RNA
Rfam family: Bacterial small subunit ribosomal RNA
Source: RNAcentral
AACGAACGCUGGCGGCAGGCCUAACACAUGCAAGUCGAGCGCCCCGCAAGGGGACCGGCGGCCGGGUGAGUAACGCGGGGGAAUAUGCUCUUUGCUACGGAAUAGUCUCGGGAAACUGGGGGUAAUACCGUAUACGCCCUUUGGUGGAAAGAUCUAUCGUCCAAGGAUUAGCCCGCGUUGGAUUAGGUAUUUGGUGGGGUAAUGGGAUACCAAGCCGACGAUGCAUAGCCGGUGUGAGAGAAUCAUCAGCCACACUGGGAGUGAGCCACAGCCCAGAAUCCUCCGGGAGGCGGCAGAGGGGGAUCUAAGAACACGGGGGCAACCCUGAUGGAGUCCUGCCGGGUGAGUGCUGAAGGCAGUAAGGUUGUAAAGUUCAUUUAACUGGGAAGAUAAUGACGGUACCAGCAGAAGAAGCCCCGGCUAACUACGUG